ACGCUGGCGGCAGGCCUAACACAUGCAAGUCGAGCGGAAACGACUUAACUGAACCUUCGGGGAACGUUAAGGGCGUCGAGCGGCGGACGGGUGAGUAAUGCCUAGGAAAUUGCCCUGAUGUGGGGGAUAACCAUUGGAAACGAUGGCUAAUACCGCAUGAUGCCUACGGGCCAAAGAGGGGGACCUUCGGGCCUCUCGCGUCAGGAUAUGCCUAGGUGGGAUUAGCUAGUUGGUGAGGUAAUGGCUCACCAAGGCGACGAUCCCUAGCUGGUCUGAGAGGAUGAUCAGCCACACUGGAACUGAGACACGGUCCAGACUCCUACGGGAGGCAGCAGUGGGGAAUAUUGCACAAUGGGCGCAAGCCUGAUGCAGCCAUGCCGCGUGUGUGAAGAAGGCCUUCGGGUUGUAAAGCACUUUCAGUCGUGAGGAAGGUGGURYWGUUAAUAGCWSYAUCAUUUGACGUUAGCGACAGAAGAAGCACCGGCUAACUCCGUGCCAGCAGCCGCGGUAAUACGGAGGGUGCGAGCGUUAAUCGGAAUUACUGGGCGUAAAGCGCAUGCAGGUGGUUUGUUAAGUCAGAUGUGAAAGCCCGGGGCUCAACCUCGGAAUAGCAUUUGAAACUGGCAGACUAGAGUACUGUAGAGGGGGGUAGAAUUUCAGGUGUAGCGGUGAAAUGCGUAGAGAUCUGAAGGAAUACCGGUGGCGAAGGCGGCCCCCUGGACA
This 723-nucleotide ribosomal RNA is filed under the name Vibrio sp. 13F06. Its description in RNAcentral is "bacterial SSU rRNA". It matches the Rfam family "Bacterial small subunit ribosomal RNA", at positions 33 to 735 of the family's 1533-position model. The record is from RNAcentral. Lineage: Bacteria; Pseudomonadati; Pseudomonadota; Gammaproteobacteria; Vibrionales; Vibrionaceae.